CCUACGGGAGGCAGCAGUGAGGAAUAUUGGUCAAUGGGCGGAAGCCUGAACCAGCCAAGUAGCGUGCAGGAUGACGGCCCUACGGGUUGUAAACUGCUUUUAUACGGGAAUAACGCGCCUUACGUGUAGGCCUUUGCAUGUACCGUAUGAAUAAGGACCGGCUAAUUCCGUGCCAGCAGCCGCGGUAAUCCGGAAGGUCCGGGCGUGAUCCGGAUUUAUUGGGUUUAAAGGGAGCGUAGGCCGCACGUCAAGCGUGCUGUGAAAUGUCCGGGCUCAACCCGGGCCCUGCAGCGCGAACUGGCGGGCUUGAGUGCGCGGAAAGCAGGCGGAAUGCGUCGUGUAGCGGUGAAAUGCUUAGAUAUGACGAAGAACCCCGAUUGCGAAGGCAGCUUGCUGCAGCGGAACUGACGCUGAUGCUCGAAAGCGCGGGUAUCGAACAGGAUUAGAUACCCUUGUAGUC
Molecule: ribosomal RNA, 460 nt
Filed under: uncultured bacterium
Lineage: Bacteria
Description: partial 16S ribosomal RNA
Rfam family: Bacterial small subunit ribosomal RNA
Source: RNAcentral